This 425-nucleotide ribosomal RNA is filed under the name uncultured prokaryote. RNAcentral describes it as "bacterial SSU rRNA". It matches the Rfam family "Bacterial small subunit ribosomal RNA", at positions 355 to 774 of the family's 1533-position model. The record is from RNAcentral.
CAACGAAUAUUCCGCAAUGCGCGAAAGCGUGACGGAGCGACGCCGCGUGUAGGACGAAGCCCCUCGGGGUGUAAACUACUGUCAGGAUUGAGCAAACAAGAAGAUCGAAUAGGUCUUGGCGUUGAGCUAGUCCAGAGGAAGCCACGGCUAACUCUGUGCCAACAGCCGCGGUAAGACAGAGGUGGCAAGCGUUGUUCGGAAUCACUGGGCUUAAAGGGUGUGUAGGCGGUUUGGUAAGCAUUAGGUGAAAGCCCUGGGCUCAACCCAGGAACAGCAGGAUGUACGGCCUGACUUGAGGCGAGUAGAGGUCACUGGAACUCUGGGUGGAGCGGUGAAAUGCGUAGAUAUCCAGGGGAACGCCAAUGGCGAAGGCAGGUGACUGGGCUCGUCCUGACGCUGAGGCACGAAAGCGUGGGAAGUGAACG